RNAcentral lists this ribosomal RNA (116 nucleotides) under Lysinibacillus irui. Lineage: Bacteria; Bacillati; Bacillota; Bacilli; Caryophanales; Bacillaceae. The record is from RNAcentral.
UCUAGUGAUGAUGGCAAAGAGGUCACACCCGUUCCCAUACCGAACACGGAAGUUAAGCUCUUUAGCGCCGAUGGUAGUUGGGGGCUUCUCCCUGUGAGAGUAGGACGUCGCUAGGC